UUCAUUAUAUUGCCAUGGUCAU
This 22-nucleotide non-coding RNA is filed under the name Rattus norvegicus (Norway rat). Lineage: Eukaryota; Metazoa; Chordata; Mammalia; Rodentia; Muridae. The record is from RNAcentral.